GAUGAACGCUGGCGGCGCGCCUAAUACAUGCAAGUCGAGCGAACAGACGAGGAGCUUGCUCCUCUAACGUUAGCGGCGGACGGGUGAGUAACACGUGGAUAACCUACCUAUAAGACUGGGAUAACUUCGGGAAACCGGAGCUAAUACCGGAUAAUAUAUUGAACCGCAUGGUUCAAUAGUGAAAGACGGUUUUGCUGUCACUUAUAGAUGGAUCCGCGCCGCAUUAGCUAGUUGGUAAGGUAACAGCUUACCAAGGCAACGAUGCGUAGCCGGCCUGGGAGGGUGAUCAGCCACACUGGAACUGAGACACGGUCCAGACUCCUACGGGAGGCAGCAGUAGGGAAUCUUCCACAAUGGGCGAAAGCCUGACGGAGCAACGCCGCGUGAGUGAUGAAGGUCUUCGGAUCGUAAAACUCUGUUAUUAGGGAAGAACAAAUGUGUAAGUAACUAUGCACGUCUUGACGGUACCUAAUCAGAAAGCCACGGCUAACUACGUGCCAGCCGCCGCAGUAA
This 513-nucleotide ribosomal RNA is filed under the name uncultured bacterium. RNAcentral's name for it is "partial 16S ribosomal RNA". It matches the Rfam family "Bacterial small subunit ribosomal RNA", at positions 28 to 523 of the family's 1533-position model. The record is from RNAcentral.